CCCUUAGAUGUCCUGGGCCGCACGCGCGCUACACUGACAUGUUUAACAAGCCUCCUAGUUCGACAGGAUUUGGGAAAUCUUUGAACGCAUGUCGUGAUAGGGAUAGAUCAUUGCAAUUAUUGAUCUUGAACGAGGAAUUCCUAGUAAACGCGAGUCAUUAGCUCGCAUUGAUUACGUCCCUGCCCUUUGUACACACCGCCCGUCGCACCUACCGAUUGAAUGUUUCGGUGAAGAUUCCGGAUAGGACUUUUUUGAUUUAUUUCAAUUCUGUCUUAAAAGCUAUCUAAACCUCAACAUUUAGAGGAAGGUGAAGUCGUAACA
This 321-nucleotide ribosomal RNA is filed under the name uncultured eukaryote. RNAcentral describes it as "partial 18S ribosomal RNA". It matches the Rfam family "Eukaryotic small subunit ribosomal RNA", at positions 1470 to 1796 of the family's 1831-position model. The record is from RNAcentral.